Molecule: long non-coding RNA, 749 nt
Organism: Erinaceus europaeus (western European hedgehog)
Lineage: Eukaryota; Metazoa; Chordata; Mammalia; Eulipotyphla; Erinaceidae
Exons: 2
Source: RefSeq, a predicted model, not a curated record
GGAACCCUGUGACACCUGUACCUGGUGAGUAUCCUGGGUUCAGGAGCAGAGAUCCCUGGGAUGGGGCUGUACCAGACAAGAGGGCAAGAGGGGCAGGACUCAAGGCUAGAGUCAGACUAGGACAUGGAUUGAACAAGCUCCUGAAGGCCACCCAGCAUGUCCUGCCAGCAAAGCCAGCAGCAGUGCCAGCCCCCUCCCAAGUGCUCCCCCAAGUGCCCUCCCAAGUGUCAGACACCCAAGUGUCCACCAAAGUGUCCCCCCAAGUGUCCCCCUGUGUCCUCCUCCUGCUGCAGCUCUGGGGGUGGGGGCUGCUGCAGCUCUGGGGGUGGGGGCUGCUGCCUGAGCCACCACAGGCCCCGCAGGUCCCACCGCCACAGGCAGAGCUCUGGCUGCUGCAGCAAUUCCUCAGGGGGCUCCAGCAGCUGUGGAGGGGGUUCCAGCAGCUGUGGAGGAGGCUCCAGCUGCUGUGGAGGGGGGAGUGGAGGGGGGAGCACCCAGUCCUCUGGAGGCUGCUGCUAAUGGCAUUCCCAGCCAAGAAGAAGGACUUAGAGGCACACAAAGAGCACCUACAUCUUUCUGCACCUGCCUCUGCCUCUGAGAUACUUCAGUGGAUCCAGAUCCUGUGUUGGAGACUUUGCCAUCUGGAAUCCUCUUCCCAUGUCUUGCCUGGUCUCCUGCCUGAGCUGGGCAUCCCUGGAGACAAGCUCCCCUACCCUGAAAUGAAUCAAUAAAACUGUGUGUGCCCCCUA